This 772-nucleotide ribosomal RNA is filed under the name uncultured bacterium. RNAcentral's name for it is "SSU rRNA". It matches the Rfam family "Bacterial small subunit ribosomal RNA", at positions 74 to 853 of the family's 1533-position model. The record is from RNAcentral.
GCCCCUUCGGGGGUGCUCGAGUGGCGAACGGGUGAGUAACACGUGGGUGACCUGCCCUGCACUCUGGGAUAAGCCUGGGAAACUGGGUCUAAUACCGGAUAGGACUGCGCGGUUUAUGCCGUGUGGUGGAAAGCGUUAUGUAGCGGUGUGGGAUGGGCCCCGCGGCCUAUCAGCUUGUUGGUGGGGUGAUGGCCUACCAAGGCGACGACGGGUAGCCGGCCUGAGAGGGUGAUCGGCCACACUGGGACUGAGAUACGGCCCAGACUCCUACGGGAGGCAGCAGUGGGGAAUAUUGCACAAUGGGCGCAAGCCUGAUGCAGCUACGCCGCGUGGGGGAUGACGGCCUUCGGGUUGUAAACCUCUUUCAGCGCCGACGAAGCGAGAGUGACGGUAGGCGUAGAAGAAGCACCGGCCAACUACGUGCCAGCAGCCGCGGUAAUACGUAGGGUGCGAGCGUUGUCCGGAAUUACUGGGCGUAAAGAGCUCGUAGGUGGUUUGUCGCGUUGUUCGUGAAAACUCGCAGCUUAACUGUGAGCGUGCGGGCGAUACGGGCAGACUAGAGUACUGUAGGGGAGACUGGAAUUCCUGGUGUAGCGGUGGAAUGCGCAGAUAUCAGGAGGAACACCGGUGGCGAAAGCGGGUCUCUGGGCAGUAACUGACGCUGAGGAGCGAAAGCGUGGGGAGCGAACAGGAUUAGAUACCCUGGUAGUCCACGCCGUAAACGGUGGGUACUAGGUGUGGGUUUCCUUCCUUAGGGAUCCGUGCCGUAGCU